Molecule: ribosomal RNA, 253 nt
Filed under: uncultured bacterium
Lineage: Bacteria
Description: partial 16S ribosomal RNA
Rfam family: Bacterial small subunit ribosomal RNA
Source: RNAcentral
UACGAAGGUGGCAAGCGUUACUCGGAAUUACUAGGCGUAAAGGGCAGGCAGGUGGUUCGGUAAGUCUGUUGUUAAAGCUCCUGGCUUAACUGGGAGAGGUCAACAGAUACUACCGAGCUUGAGUAUGGGAGAGGAUACUGGAAUUCCCGGUGUAGCGGUGAAAUGCGCAGAGAUCGGGAGGAACACCUAUGGCGAAAGCAGGUAUCUGGACCAUUGCUGACACUCAGCUGCGAAAGCUAGGGGAGCAAACAGG